RNAcentral lists this ribosomal RNA (423 nucleotides) under uncultured bacterium. RNAcentral's name for it is "bacterial SSU rRNA". It matches the Rfam family "Bacterial small subunit ribosomal RNA", at positions 64 to 507 of the family's 1533-position model. The record is from RNAcentral.
GCACGAUGAAAGUGGAGCAAUGCAUGAGCUAAAGUGGCGCACGGGCUGAGUAACACGUGACUAACCUACCCCUCGAAUGGGGAAUAACCUAAAGAAAUCUGGGCUCAUACCGCAUAGCACUUAUCAGGUCAAACCACCAAUGCGCUUGAGGAGGGGGUCUCGGUCGAUUAGCAAUUUGGCGGGGUAAUGGCCCACCAAGGUCGACUGAUCGGUAUCCGGCAUGAGAGGGCGCACGGACACACUGGAGACUGAAACACGGCUCCAGACUCCUACAGGAGAGCACCAGUGGGGAAUUCAGCGCUAUGGGGGAAGACCAGGACGCAUCAACGCCGCGUGGAGGAUGAAAUCCCUUGGCGAUGUAAACUCCUUUCGAUCGGGACGAUUAUUACUGUACCGGAAGAAGAUACACCAGCUAACUUCGUG